RNAcentral lists this transfer RNA (66 nucleotides) under Centrodontus atlas. RNAcentral's name for it is "tRNA-Leu". Lineage: Eukaryota; Metazoa; Arthropoda; Insecta; Hemiptera; Membracidae. The record is from RNAcentral.
UCUAAUGUGACAGAUCAAAUGUAAUGAAUUUAAGAUUCAUGAAUAAAUAUAUAUAUUUCUUUAGAA